UACGGGGGGAGCAAGCGUUGUUCGGAUUUACUGGGCGUAAAGGGCGCGUAGGCGGCCACCGCAAGUCAGUUGUGAAAUCUCUGGGCUUAACCCAGAAAGGUCAACUGAUACUGCGGGGCUAGAGUGCAGAAGGGGCAACUGGAAUUCUCGGUGUAGCGGUGAAAUGCGUAGAUAUCGAGAGGAACACCUGCGGCGAAGGCGGGUUGCUGGGCUGACACUGACACUGAGGCACGAAAGCUAGGGGAGCAAACAGG
This 254-nucleotide ribosomal RNA is filed under the name uncultured bacterium. RNAcentral describes it as "partial 16S ribosomal RNA". It matches the Rfam family "Bacterial small subunit ribosomal RNA", at positions 524 to 776 of the family's 1533-position model. The record is from RNAcentral.